UAAAUACCACAAGAGGCACAGUGUGGGU
Molecule: non-coding RNA, 28 nt
Filed under: Rattus norvegicus (Norway rat)
Lineage: Eukaryota; Metazoa; Chordata; Mammalia; Rodentia; Muridae
Source: RNAcentral